UGUCUUGACGCGAGCCAGAACUGUGUCCGUCUCCUCUUAACUCGGACGCAAGAAAGGGUGUCCCGUCGCCGGAGAGAGAGAGAGAGAGAGAGAGAGAGGACGACGCGAGGGGUUUGCGGCUUCGACGGAGGCGUGGCGUCGACUGAAUCGGUGUGGAAAGCGGCAGCGGCGACGGUGGAGGAGGAGGAUUUGAUGGUGGCGGAAGUCAGCGCUGGAGCGGCGGGGGAGACGGAGGAGGAAGUCAGAAAUGAGGAGGAGCUGGGGCUAGGGCUGACCUUGGGGCGGCGAGGAAGGGGAAGCCGCUGCCGGCGCCGUGGGGCCGUGCUGGCGCAUCUUGAUCGCCAAGAACUUCCCCUCCCUGGCGUCGCGCGCCUCUCCGAUGUCCCCAACCGCUUCCUUGGUCUCCUCGUCCUCCGGCACCAACCCGGGUGUCGCCGGGAAUAAGCGGGCGGCAGAAUCCGUCUCCCCUGACUCCCUUCCUCCCCGUCUCAGUGAGCGAACAGUCAGGUGGCAGUGGGAUGGCCAUCUAUCAGGGCCUUCAGGAUGAACAGAUUGUUCAACCAUUCCAAAGAUAGUACCUCCAAUUCCCUCAAGAAGACCAACCUCAUCAUUGGCAGCAAUGAUCAGGAGAAUAAAGGAAAAGAAAAGAGGAAUUCAUUAUUUGGUAAAUUGAAAUGGAUGGUGAUCCUAUAUGUUGGAAGGUGGAUCUCAUUGCCCAUCAUUCUCAUUAAUCUCUUGAAGUUGCACUUGAGCUCAUGUUUCAGAAGCCUACUAUGGGCCCUGCCCUUUGGCCUCUAUCUAUGGAGCAAAGGUUUCAAAGUUGUUAGAUGGUUCUUCUGAGUUUUCUCUUACUUAUGAAGACAAGGAUGGGGACUGGAUGCUGGUUGGAGAUGUGCCUCGAAUGGUAUGCCUUCUUCACAGUACAGACUGAUAUUGAUACCUGUCUAUCGGUAUUCCUAAACGCAAGAAAUCAUUCAUGGAUGACUACUUUGGUCAGGGAACCUAUUUCUCCUGGAGAACGAUAUCAUGGUGUUUCGAUCAUCAUUAGAAUACAUUUAUUAACAUAGAUCAAUUGUACUCUGGUUAUAGUGCAUGCAUUCAAUUUUGUUGCAAUCUUAUGGGUUUUCUGGUGAUCUUGUCCUUAGUUUUUUCUCAUUGUCAAAGACUUGUUCUGUUUUGUAGUUUGCUGAUUCAGUCUAACUUACAGAAUGGUUUUGGAAACAGUGAAGAGACUUAGAAUUAUGAGGAAGCAAAUGGGCUGUCAGUCUGUUCAUUUUGGAGAGCACCAGGAUUUCAGUCCUUCAACAAGGCCAGUGAAGCAAUAGGAAGCAGUCCCGGCAUAACAGCUAGAAACAGAAUGAGGUACCCUUAGAGGAGAGAAGAAGAUGGGGACUCUGGAGUAUGUAUUACACAGAAGAAAAGAGAUGAAACAAUUAGAGGAGCCUAGAUCAAUUUGGGCAAAACACAUAUUUGCCCUUGUUUUUGGUGGUUGAUUAGGUUCAUGAUUUCUCUGUGGUCAUUCAUGGCAUGACCACUCCCGGCAUGCUUGCUGCUUCAAUGCUGCAACUGUUUCACAGUUUUCUACUGAAUACAAUACAUGGUUUUGGAUAUUUCCUGCUGUUUCACACAGUUUCAUGGCUGAAAAUAUGAAUCCAUUGUUUUCC
Molecule: long non-coding RNA, 1664 nt
Organism: Musa acuminata AAA Group (dessert banana)
Lineage: Eukaryota; Viridiplantae; Streptophyta; Magnoliopsida; Zingiberales; Musaceae
Exons: 4
Source: RefSeq, a predicted model, not a curated record